GAUGAACGCUAGCUACAGGCUUAACACAUGCAAGUCGAGGGGAAACGACAUCGAAAGCUUGCUUUUGAUGGGCGUCGACCGGCGCACGGGUGAGUAACGCGUAUCCAACCUGCCCACCACUUGGGGAUAACCUUGCGAAAGUAAGACUAAUACCCAAUGAUAUCCCACGAAGACAUCUGAAUGGGAUUAAAGAUUUAUCGGUGAUGGAUGGGGAUGCGUCUGAUUAGCUUGUUGGCGGGGUAACGGCCCACCAAGGCAACGAUCAGUAGGGGUUCUGAGAGGAAGGUCCCCCACAUUGGAACUGAGACACGGUCCAAACUCCUACGGGAGGCAGCAGUGAGGAAUAUUGGUCAAUGGGCGAGAGCCUGAACCAGCCAAGUAGCGUGCAGGAAGACGGCCCUAUGGGUUGUAAACUGCUUUUAUAAGGGAAUAAAGUAGGUCACGUGUGACUUUUUGCAUGUACCUUAUGAAUAAGGACCGGCUAAUUCCGUG
Molecule: ribosomal RNA, 492 nt
Filed under: uncultured bacterium
Lineage: Bacteria
Description: partial 16S ribosomal RNA
Rfam family: Bacterial small subunit ribosomal RNA
Source: RNAcentral